AGUGAACGCUGGCGGUAUGCCUAACACAUGCAAGUCGAACGGCAGCACAGUAAGAGCUUGCUCUUACGGGUGGCGAGUGGCGGACGGGUGAGGAAUACAUCGGAAUCUACUUUUUCGUGGGGGAUAACGUAGGGAAACUUACGCUAAUACCGCAUACGACCUACGGGUGAAAGCAGGGGAUCUUCGGACCUUUCGCGAUUGAAUGAGCCGAUGUCGGAUUAGCUAGUUGGCGGGGUAAAGGCCCACCAAGGCGACGAUCCGUAGCUGGUCUGAGAGGAUGAUCAGACACACUGGAACUGAGAAACGGUCCAGACUCCUACGGGAGGCAGCAGUGGGGAAUAUUGGACAAUGGGCGAAAGCCUGAUACAGCCAUACCGCGUGGGUGAAGAAGGCCUUAGGGUUGUAAAGCCAUUUUGUUGGGAAAGAAAAGCAGCAGGUUAAUACCCCGCUGUUCUGACGGUACCCAAAGAAUAAGCACCGGCUAACUUCGUG
Molecule: ribosomal RNA, 492 nt
Filed under: uncultured bacterium
Lineage: Bacteria
Description: partial 16S ribosomal RNA
Rfam family: Bacterial small subunit ribosomal RNA
Source: RNAcentral